UUACCUUUUUGUUGUUUUUUUUCCAUUUAUGAAAAAUGAAAAAAGUCGCUAAAAAUGGACGAAAAGUAAAGGCUAUAGCCUUACUUUUUGGCUGUUUUUUUGCCAUUUAUGGAAAAAGUCACUAAAAAUGGACGAAAAGUAAAGGCUAUAGCCUUACCUUUUUGUUGUUUUUUUUCCAUUUAUGAAAAAUGAAAAAAGUCGCUAAAAAUGGACGAAAAGUAAAGACUAUAGCCUUACUUUUUUGCUGGUUUUUGGCCAUUGAUGAAAAAGUUGCUAAAAAUGGACGAAAAGUAAAGGCUAUAGCCUUACUUUUUUGCUGUUUUUUUUCUAAAAAGUCGCUAGAAUCCUAAAUAUUAAAAUCAUUAACUCAUUAUUUCUAUAAUUGAGAGAAAAUGCAGAUGAGCCUAAUAAUUUACAAAAUAUGCAUUCUCUAAAAGCUUCAAUUCCACAGCAAAGUAGUACUUUGUAAGCAAAGUCCUCGGGACUUGAAAAGUACUUGAAAAUAAUAGAUCCUUUGUCUGUCAUCUGUGAAAAAUUUCUAUUGCAUUAAUUUGCCCAUUUUUUCCAUUUGUCGUGCCAAAUUUCCUCAUCUGGUGUCAUAAUUAAGCUCUGAAA
This is a non-coding RNA of Paramuricea clavata, 615 nucleotides long. Lineage: Eukaryota; Metazoa; Cnidaria; Anthozoa; Malacalcyonacea; Plexauridae. The record is from the annotation of a GenBank genome assembly.